Notolabrus celidotus (New Zealand spotty) is the source of this 3401-nucleotide RNA transcript. It is a transcript of the gene named post-glycosylphosphatidylinositol attachment to proteins 6, with no coding region annotated. The transcript has 14 exons. Lineage: Eukaryota; Metazoa; Chordata; Actinopteri; Labriformes; Labridae. The record is from RefSeq and is a predicted model, not a curated record.
ACAUGCUCAACCCGGAAGCGUUGAGCAGGUAGAAAUGAUUUCCCCGCGGUAGAUUCGUGUGACAUUACAGGUGGAUAAAGGACGAUGUAAUGGUUUGGAUGCUUGGAAAGGAAACAUGGAGUUUUGUUUUCUUCGUUGUCUUCUUGUCGCCGUCCUUUCGAGCUUGGCUUUAGGAGACGAUGGACAGGUGACAUUCGUAUCCGAGCUGUCUGCAAAACCUGCACAGAAGUUGUCAAAGUACGGCUGGUACGGCAACGUGAGGCUGCAGAAGUUCCACAUACCUGAGGAAACGGCCAUCGCUCGCUGGCUGUUCUCCGUCACCAAAGGCCACAACUUCUACUGCGGACAGCACAACGUCACCAUCCACAUUCGAUGGGGUGCCCCUCCAGUAAUAAACCCCACAGGCUCUGUGUUUCCCAAUUCAACACUAUGGAGCCCUGUGCUGUCUCUGAUCCUACCUGUGACAUCACACAGCUCCACAACCUUAAACCUCACCAGUCCUGCUUCAGGUGAUUGGUACAUUGGCGCCCAUUUGCCUGAAGAUGACGGACGCAUUGAGCAGAAGGGCUUCCCGUCCUGCUCCUACUUCUUCCAGCCUCAGCUGUCAGUCAGGAGAGUGGUGGACACACCCAUUUUACAGCAGGGCACAAUCCUCAAGCAGACUGCAGCCCCUGAUAGACCUUCGCGCCUUAAGUUGUAUGUUCCAGAGUUUGCCUCCUCUCUCUCCGUCUCCCUGGCCGACUGCUCCUCAGAGGAUGGCGCCCACAGCGGGAACUGUUCACUCGUCCUCAAGCUCGGCUCCUCCUCUCCUCAGCACAACGCGCUCACAGUGAACUGCUCAGGGAUCAGCUGCUCUGCUACUCUUUCUAACCCACCGUGGGACACCUGGUUAAGAGUUGUUGUGGAGAGCAGCCGUGAGAACCAGACUGUGACCUUUAGUAUUGUCUCGAGUUACACAGUGGGAUGUAAGCCAAAAAGUGUCGGACUCACAGCAGAUAAUGACAUCAACAAGCUUCGCGGCAACAGCAGCUACAUCAACGCAACAUCAGCAGGAAACGGCUCCGUGGACGCAGACACAGUCGGCUUUGGCAACAAAUCCACGGCCCUGUUAACACCACUGUUGGCGACGGCGUGCAUGUGGAGCUUCCCUGUGCUCUACGAGGAGGUGGACAUUCUGUCGCUCCGGUUCACGCCUGUCAACGGACCCAAUGUCAGCGUUUCAAACACACACCCCUCUCUGCUCACAUACCCGCUGCACACACAGGCUACUGGAGGGACACUGAACCUACAGCUCACACUCAACACUACUAAUUUAACCCUGGGCAACAGCAGCAGUGUGGUGGCCUGUCUCACUCCCUGGGCUCCAAUCCUGGAACUCAACAACUCUCAAGCCUGCCGCACAGCUUUGUAUGGAGGAUAUGGAGUCAGUGUGAAUGUCAGUGCUCCGAAAGCUGUGGUCAGGCUGCCUUUCCCUCAGUCAACAACGUGGUACCUCACCCUGCAGCUCACAUGCAACGGCAGUGACUGUGGGAACACAUCAGUGGUAUCAGUGGUUCCUGAGGUCUCUAUCAGUGCCUGUGUGGAAGACUGUGGGACGUACGGUGAAUGUAGACUGCUGAGGUCCUACAGCUACCUGUACGCUGCUUGUGUCUGCAAAGCUGGCAGGAGUGGUUGGGGCUGCACUGAUGACACAUCAGCUCAGUCAUACCUGCGGCAGGUGACGGCGACUCUUCUGCUCACGCUCAGCAACCUUUCCUUCCUGCCCGCCAUCGUGGUUGCUGUCAGACGCUGUUACAUCACCGAGGCCUCCGUCUACCUCUUCACAAUGUUCUUCUCUACGUUCUACCAUGCAUGUGACCAGCCAGGUGUAGCCGUGAUGUGUAUAAUGGACUACGACACCCUGCAAUACUGUGACUUCCUGGGGUCGGUCUGUUCCAUCUGGGUCACCAUCCUGUGCAUGGCUCGCAUCAGAGAUACAUUCAAAUAUACCUUGUUCAUGCUCGGGGCUCUGCUGAUAGCCAUGUCAAUGCAGCUGGACCGUAAAGGUCUGUGGAACCUGCUAGGCCCUGUGCUCUGUGCCAUCCUGUUCAUGGUCUCUGCCUGGGUGUACCGAGGUGUUCGGCGACGCCAUUGUUAUCCACCUUCGUGGAAGCGCUGGGUCCUCUAUCUGAUCCCCGGAGCGCUCUGCGCCCUGAUUGGAGUUUGUCUGUACAUUUUCGCAGAAACGGAGGACAACUACUUUUACACACACUCGCUGUGGCACAUCCUGGUGGCCAGCUGCGUGGUGUUCCUGCUGCCACCAAAGGAGAGGGAAAGGGAGGCGUUAGGGUGGAGCAGAGGAUGGAGCUGGACCUGGACCUGGAGCUGGAGACCCCGGGUCUGUGGGUACACGCUGUGCGAGAGCAGCAAAGACGAACUCUACACUGUCACAUAGAGGACAUGAGAAUGCAAAGUGACCAGAUAUUGAUUGUUAAAAAGCAUUAAAGUUUGUUCUGGACUUUUCCAUCCUAUAAUGUGGCCUUCAUCAUCACCAUCAGCAAAGGAACUCUCAUCAAACGUUUUGUUCUCACAUCAUUAAACUACAGAACUCUAAAGAAUAUUUAUUCAGCUACUUUAUUAAAUGACAUUUUUUUUAUGCAUUUCUACAGUGAUUGAUUAAUUUCAGCUUCUGAACAGUGGAGGUAAUUUUUGUUUUGGCCAGCUUUUGUUUAUCAGCUUUUAAUCAAGCAUGUCAUCAAUGUAAAUUCUUGGUAUACAGGGUGCUUUCUCCUCCAAAUCUCUAAUGUUAUGCGAAUAAUCUAAAUUACUUAGUUUUUUUUAUUAUUCUCCAGUGUCUUCUAAUCACUCAUGUCUAUUUCUCCUUCUUAAUCCUCACCAGUUGUACUUUUCUUUUUUUUUAUCUAUCGUGAUGCACUUUUAUGAUCACAAACAGAAUCACUAUGUCGUGUAAAUAACCCAUAAGUGUGUGAAAGGGCACUUUAUGAAUGUAUAUUAUUCAGAUUGCUGUGUCCAGUGCCUCAUCCUGUCUAUAUGUACUGUAAGAGUAUGUUUUUUUUGUCUCUUGCACCAGAAGAGCUGCUGAACACUCCCAAACUUUAUUUAAAGUGAGAUAUAUAUUUUAUGUAUUGUCUAUUUUUAAGUGUCCCAUACUGUGAUGAUUGUUUUUGCUUUGUGAUUUUGCACAGGUUUAACAUAACCUUCCUUUGGUUCUUUAAAUUGUUACUCUACUACUUCAUUUUGUUUUCACCACUUCACUAUACUGUAGAUCUCAAUACUUAGGGAUGGACAAAUGUAAUAUUCAAUUUAAAAUGUGAUUUUCAACCCUUGUGACAGACAGCUUCUUUUUAAUCUUUUAAAAAAUCCAAACAGCAUUUAUCCAACCAAAAAUAAAUCUGUUGUAU